AUGAGGUAGGGUACUGGCAACAGUGCUCUGCUGAAAUAUUUUCACCCAUGUCUUUUGCGCACUUUUUGUUUCCUGGGCGAGUUUGCUCGCCACCAGGACCCCCAUAUGAACCUUUUUUGUUUUUGCACUCAGCGUCAGUACAAUAAUUUAAUCUAUUAAAACUUUCAACAACGGAUCUCUUGGUUCUGGCAUCGAUGAAGAACGCAGCGAAAUGCGAUACGUAGUGUGAAUUGCAGAAUUCAGUGAAUCAUCGAAUCUUUGAACGCACAUUGCGCCCUUUGGUAUUCCAAAGGGCAUGCCUGUUCGAGCGUCAUUUGUACCCUCAAGCUUUGCUUGGUGUUGGGCGUCUUAUUGUCUCUCCGUCUCGGGGAGACUCGCCUUAAAACAAUUGGCAGCCGGCCUACUGGUUUCGGAGCGCAGCACAAAUUUGCGCUUGCAAUCAGCCAAGGGCGGCAUCCAUGAAGCCUUUUUUCUCUCACAUUUUGACCUCGGAUCAGGUAGGGAUACCCGCUGAACUUAAGCAUAUCAAUAGGCCGGAGAAAAAUGAUGGUCUCUGAUGAAGUC
RNAcentral lists this ribosomal RNA (564 nucleotides) under Exserohilum turcicum. RNAcentral's name for it is "eukaryotic LSU rRNA". The stretch from base 160 to 313 matches the Rfam family "5.8S ribosomal RNA". Lineage: Eukaryota; Fungi; Ascomycota; Dothideomycetes; Pleosporales; Pleosporaceae. The record is from RNAcentral.